This 20-nucleotide non-coding RNA is filed under the name Rattus norvegicus (Norway rat). Lineage: Eukaryota; Metazoa; Chordata; Mammalia; Rodentia; Muridae. The record is from RNAcentral.
GGAGGUUUUGGUGCUAUUGU